This is a non-coding RNA of Pelodiscus sinensis (Chinese soft-shelled turtle), 1447 nucleotides long. The record is from RefSeq and is a predicted model, not a curated record. NCBI's taxonomy places the organism in Eukaryota, Metazoa, Chordata, Testudines, Trionychidae.
UGGCAACGGGGUCUGUUGCAAGGGAAGGUACUGGGAUAUAACCAAUUACCCUAGUAAGCAUUGCCUUACUAGCAUGCUUACUGGGGUAACCUGUUAACUAGUUACCCCUUUACAUCCCUACUAGGGAUGUUAAAAUGUGGGCUACUGAAAUUUAAGACAAAGUCUGUUUAGAUUUAAUUACAUGCCAAAGGCCUCCCUUAUUUAUCUGAUGCCUUUGGAACAUAAAAAUACAGUUAGCUAAUACUGGUUACUAUUGGCAAAUGAUAUUUAAAGUAAGGAUUAGAGUGAAUAUAGGGAAAAACAAGUUGGCGCUCUGAUGAACAGUGUCUUCUUUCUUUGUUCAACACAGGUCCAAAGGACUAUCAACAAUCAAAACUAUGCAAGAACAGUAGUGCUGGUCCUUGCCUAAAAACUUGUCUAUAUUAGCAAAUGUCCUGUUGCUGACAACAGGUGUCACCAACAAGUGAAACUAAACUGGUGUUGAACACAGUUUAGAAGCAAAUGCUUAAAGGACUAUGCCUUUUCACCCUCAGUUCAGAAAGUGAGGUAGGUUAUAGCCAGAGAUUAUGCGCAGAUUCUGAACUCUAUUCCUUGUCUACGCUUGCAGUUAAAUCGUGUUCAGCACCAUUUCUGUUGCACCCAUUUCUGACAGGCUAAUUUGGCUAUGAUAAUAAAAGUGCUCUAUUAUGAGACUUUAGUCUCCCUCACUCAGCAUGAAUGAAGGAUCUCUGCCAUUCAUUAAGAAAUAAAAACAUAAGAUACUAUUAAAUAGAACUAUUUCCCCUGUAGGUUUGCAGCCUAACCUGAAUAGAAAAAAGGUACUAAGUAACAAAAAGGAGAGUGACAGAAGGGAGUGACAAAGACAAAAGGAAAAUAAGUGAUUAGCUACUGCUGGCGUCCUGCCACUUUCCCACUGGAAGAACUCAAGCCUUCAUCUUUUCCCUCUUAACCCAGAUCACAUCUCCUGAAGGAAAAACUUGUAAGAGAUGAUAUGGAAUGGCAGAUAAACCAAGGGAAAACUCAGAGACUAUCCAGUUUGGCCAAUAUAGAUGGCGCGGCCCAACCUCCGAACACCCGCAGCAGUUGCUGGGGGAGCCUGAAACUGCCUCUCCUGAGCAGACACUACAGGGAGCUGAGAUCUGCAGCCUGCUACAUGGAGUUGGGGGGCCCACCCCAUAAGCCACAGCCUGGCCCAGCCUCCACCCAAAGACCACCCCAGGAACUGCAGACCCAGACUUCCUGAAAAAGAUUCCAAUGCUAGAAACCAAUCCAUACCCUCCCAUCACCACACCUCCAGGGCCUCAAGGAGAUGCCGGGGCUAAGCACUGCAGCACUGACCCAACACACACAAUCCCUUGCCCUGAGCUCCCUGCAAAACCAGGCUCUUACCCUGACUCCUGCAACCCCAUCCCCUGCCCCACACCCUAACUAUUGUACCAUGCACCAA